This 410-nucleotide ribosomal RNA is filed under the name uncultured microorganism. RNAcentral's name for it is "bacterial SSU rRNA". It matches the Rfam family "Bacterial small subunit ribosomal RNA", at positions 509 to 917 of the family's 1533-position model. The record is from RNAcentral.
CAGCCGCCGCGGUAAUACGUAGGGUGCGAGCGUUAAUCGGAUUUACUGGGCGUAAAGCGUGCGCAGGCGGCCCGUUAAGACAGGUGUGAAAUCCCUGGGCUCAACCUAGGAAUUGCGCUUGUGACUGGCGGGCUCGAGUACGGUAGAGGGGGGUGGAAUUCCUGGUGUAGCAGUGAAAUGCGUAGAGAUCAGGAGGAACACCGAUGGCGAAGGCAGCCCCCUGGGCCUGUACUGACGCUCAUGCACGAAAGCGUGGGGAGCAAACAGGAUUAGAUACCCUGGUAGUCCACGCCCUAAACGAUGGGUACUAGCCGUUUGGUGCGCGAUAGCGCUGAGUGGCGAAGCUAACGCGUGAAGUACCCCGCCUGGGGAGUAUGGCCGCAAGGUUGAAACUUAAAGGAAUUGGCGGG